This is a non-coding RNA of Phrynosoma platyrhinos (Desert horned lizard), 72 nucleotides long. The record is from the annotation of a GenBank genome assembly. Lineage: Eukaryota; Metazoa; Chordata; Lepidosauria; Squamata; Phrynosomatidae.
GCUAGUGUGGUACAGUGGUUUGAGCACUGGACUAUGAAUCUGGAGACCAGGGUUCAAAUCCCUGCUUGGUCU